CCAACCUUCGCUAAUGUCGGAUAGCUAGCCAGUUAUCAACUUGUUUUGUUAAACACAAAACAAGACAUUCCAACCUUACCAAUUUCUCUUCUUCUUUUGGUCUUCUCGAUGCCUCCGUCCAGAAUAUGUGUGAGUUUCUCCACGUUAAAUGUAGCGUUCUCACGCUCUCUAGUUAUGUCAGGAUUCAUGGCGUAAUAAAUAAUAUUUCCCUUUGCAAAAGACGACGUUGCAUGUGGCAAAAGAAAUAUGAAUUGUGUCACCUUGGGACCACAGGAACCAAGUUCAGCACUGCAUUAACUGGAGCCUGACCAAUUAUUGACAACUUCCUGAAUAGCGGGAAGAGGGGCGGGUAAACAAAAUCAUGUUAUGUGACGUUGUGAAACAUUACCGCGUUGAACUGGCAAAACACACAACUGGCAUCUUUAUGGUAUUUGACCUAUUUUAACCUUUGAUAACUUCUUGAGAAGAUGCUUCCAGCACCUGCAGUCUUUCAUUUCCCUUGGGAAGUCAACUCUGGUGCAAUCAACGAGGGAGAUUCAGUGAGAACACUUGGAAGAUUGGUGAAUCUAGAAAAGGCUACACUAUCUAUACAUCAUGCAGCACCAAGUUGUUCAGACUACAUUUGUGGAACCCUUUGACCCCAUCAUUGGAGCCCAGUACAUAGUUCUGGGCGAGAUUGAAAAAGCAGAGGGAGGUGAUGGCCCAUGCCCGUGUGCUGAACUGUGUGGAUGGGGUCAACCUAGUCCUGCUACAGGGAGGUGUCAAUGAACAGAGGAGCUACUUCAGAGAGAGGGGGUAGAGCAAGGGAGAUGCUGCUACUGCUGCUCGGCCACCUGCUCCUCUCUGACCUGGACCCCAAUAAGAAUUCACCUGAUACAGUGCUACUAGUGGAAAGUUAUGAACCAGGUGGAAUUUAAUGACAUGUUGUAAUGUUUAUAUGACCUCAGCUGGAUCGUGUCAAAAGAUCAGAUUUUUUAUGUUCGGGACAUUUUCCCAAAUAGCCGAUUUACAUGGGGAUGUCAAGAAUUAUGAGACUCUGCCUUUCGCUAAUUUAGAAUGGCGAAGGGUGGAAUUGGGAUAUAAAAAGACUGGAGGAAAUCCUGAUUCGAUACACAAAAGCUGCUUGUUCUGGUGCACUGUAAAGUCCUGCCAUUAUUUGUCAUACGAUAUCAAUUCUGGAAGUCACCCUCUUCCUGCUGACAGAGUUAGGCAGGUUCACUGAAUGUUGGGUCAGGUGUAUGAAGUAGAUCAAGAAAAUGCAUAAUUGUUGAUGAGAAUGAGAAUUGUUGAUGUAGCCAUUUAUGCAAUGGUUAUAUUUGUGAAUGAAAACUGAAAUGUAGCUUGGAAAUGUAUAUUUGUGAGAAACAAAUAAAAUCUUCUUGAUUUGA
Molecule: long non-coding RNA, 1388 nt
Organism: Oncorhynchus gorbuscha (pink salmon)
Lineage: Eukaryota; Metazoa; Chordata; Actinopteri; Salmoniformes; Salmonidae
Exons: 3
Source: RefSeq, a predicted model, not a curated record